RNAcentral lists this ribosomal RNA (553 nucleotides) under uncultured beta proteobacterium. RNAcentral describes it as "bacterial SSU rRNA". It matches the Rfam family "Bacterial small subunit ribosomal RNA", at positions 38 to 586 of the family's 1533-position model. Lineage: Bacteria; Pseudomonadati; Pseudomonadota; Betaproteobacteria. The record is from RNAcentral.
GGCGGCAUGCCUUACACAUGCAAGUCGAACGGCAGCACGGGAGCAAUCCUGGUGGCGAGUGGCGAACGGGUGAGUAAUACAUCGGAACGUGCCCAGUAGUGGGGGAUAACCCGGCGAAAGCCGGACUAAUACCGCAUACGACCUACGGGUGAAAGCAGGGGAUCGCAAGACCUUGCGCUAUCGGAGCGGCCGAUGUCAGAUUAGCUUGUUGGCGGGGUAAAAGCCCACCAAGGCGACGAUCUGUAGCUGGUCUGAGAGGACGACCAGCCACACUGGGACUGAGACACGGCCCAGACUCCUACGGGAGGCAGCAGUGGGGAAUUUUGGACAAUGGGCGCAAGCCUGAUCCAGCCAUGCCGCGUGCGGGAAGAAGGCCUUCGGGUUGUAAACCGCUUUUGUCAGGGAAGAAACGCUCCGGGCUAAUACCUUGGAGUAAUGACGGUACCUGAAGAAUAAGCACCGGCUAACUACGUGCCAGCAGCCGCGGUAAUACGUAGGGUGCAAGCGUUAAUCGGAAUUACUGGGCGUAAAGCGUGCGCAGGCGGCUUUGCAA